This 500-nucleotide ribosomal RNA is filed under the name uncultured bacterium. RNAcentral's name for it is "bacterial SSU rRNA". It matches the Rfam family "Bacterial small subunit ribosomal RNA", at positions 30 to 504 of the family's 1533-position model. The record is from RNAcentral.
CGAACGCUGGCGGCGUGCUUAACACAUGCAAGUCGAACGAGAAAGUUUCCUUCGGGAAGCGAGUAGAGUGGCGCACGGGUGAGUAACGCGUAGGUAAUCUACCCUUAUAUUUGGGAUAACAUUGGGAAACUGGUGCUAAUACCGGAUGGUCUUUUUCUAAUGCGAGUUAGAUAGAGUAAAGGUGGCCUCUUCAUGAAAGCUACCGUAUAGGGAUGAGCCUGCGUACCAUUAGCUAGUAGGUGGGGUAACGGCCCACCUAGGCAACGAUGGUUAGCGGGUCUGAGAGGAUGAUCCGCCACACUGGAACUGGAACACGGACCAGACUCCUACGGGAGGCAGCAGUGAGGAAUAUUGCGCAAUGGGGGCAACCCUGACGCAGCGACGCCGCGUGAGUGAGGAAGGUUUUCGGAUCGUAAAGCUCUGUCAGAAGGGAAGAAGUGUUAUAUGGUUAAUACCCAUAUAAUUUGACGGUACCUUCAGAGGAAGCACCGGCUAACUCC